GGUGAGUAACACGUGGGUAACCUACCCGGAGGUGGGGGAUAACCCUUCGAAAGGAGGGCUAAUACCGCAUGACAUCGCGGGGACUUCGGUCCUUGCGAUCAAAGCUGGCCUCUGUUUACAAGCUAGCGCCACCGGAUGGGCCCGCGCCCCAUUAGCUAGUUGGUGAGGUAACGGCUCACCAAGGCGACGAUGGGUAGCCGGCCUGAGAGGGCGAUCGGCCACACUGGAACUGCGACACGGUCCAGACUCCUACGGGAGGCAGCAGUGAGGAACAUUGCGCAAUGGGCGAAAGCCUGACGCAGCGACGCCGCGUGGAGGAUGAAGGUCUUCGGAUUGUAAACUCCUGUCGAGUGGGACGAAUGCCGUGAGGGUGAAUACCCCUCGCGGUUGACGGUACCGCUGGAGGAAGCCCCGGCUAACUCCGUGCCAGCAGCCGCGGUAAUACGGAGGGGGCAAGCGUUGUUCGGAAUCAUUGGGCGUAAAGGGCGUGUAGGCGGUCGAUCAAGUCGGAGGUGAAAUCCCUCGGCUCAACUGAGGAAUUGCCUUCGAUACUGUUCGGCUUGAGUCCUGGAGAGGGUAGCGGAAUUCCCG
This 591-nucleotide ribosomal RNA is filed under the name uncultured soil bacterium. RNAcentral describes it as "bacterial SSU rRNA". It matches the Rfam family "Bacterial small subunit ribosomal RNA", at positions 105 to 672 of the family's 1533-position model. The record is from RNAcentral.